RNAcentral lists this ribosomal RNA (447 nucleotides) under uncultured bacterium. Its description in RNAcentral is "partial 16S ribosomal RNA". It matches the Rfam family "Bacterial small subunit ribosomal RNA", at positions 29 to 523 of the family's 1533-position model. The record is from RNAcentral.
AGCGAACGCUGGCGGCAGGCUUAACACAUGCAAGUCGAACACCCCGCAAGGGGAGUGGCAGACGGGUGAGUAACACGUGGGAACGUACCCUUUGGUUCGGAAUAACUUGGGGAAACUCAAGCUAAUACCGGAUAAGCCCUUAUGGGGAAAGGUUUACUGCCGAAGGAUCGGCCCGCGUCUGAUUAGCUAGUUGGUGAGGUAAUGGCUCACCAAGGCGACGAUCAGUAGCUGGUCUGAGAGGAUGAUCAGCCACACUGGGACUGAGACACGGCCCAGACUCCUACGGGAGGCAGAAGUGGGGAAUAUUGGACAAUGGGGGCAACCCUGAUCCAGCCAUGCCGCGUGAGUGAUGAAGGCCUGAGGGUUGUAAAGCUCUUUUACCCGGGACGAUAAUGACUGUACCGGGAGAAUAAGCCCCGGCUAACUUCGUGCCAGCAGCAGCCGCUG